UCCCACGUUCAGAGCCUGGGCUUCCAUUC
This 29-nucleotide non-coding RNA is filed under the name Mus musculus (house mouse). Lineage: Eukaryota; Metazoa; Chordata; Mammalia; Rodentia; Muridae. The record is from RNAcentral.